Molecule: ribosomal RNA, 255 nt
Filed under: uncultured bacterium
Lineage: Bacteria
Description: partial 16S ribosomal RNA
Rfam family: Bacterial small subunit ribosomal RNA
Source: RNAcentral
UACGUACGAGGCGAGCGUUAUCCGGAUUUACUGGGUUUAAAGGGUGCGCAGGCGGAUAUGUAAGUCAGUGGUGAAAUCUCUAGGCUUAACCUGGAAAUUGCCGUUGAUACUAUAUAUCUUGAAUGUUGUGGAGGUAAGCGGAAUAUGUCAUGUAGCGGUGAAAUGCUUAGAUAUGACAUAGAACACCAAUUGCGAAGGCAGCUUACUACACAAAUAUUGACGCUGAGGCACGAAAAGCGUGGGGGAUCAAACAGG